Molecule: ribosomal RNA, 425 nt
Filed under: uncultured bacterium
Lineage: Bacteria
Description: partial 16S ribosomal RNA
Rfam family: Bacterial small subunit ribosomal RNA
Source: RNAcentral
GUGGGGAAUAUUGCACAAUGGGGGAAACCCUGAUGCAGCAACGCCGCGUGAGUGAUGAAGGCCUUCGGGUUGUAAAGCUCUGUCUUCAGGGACGAUAAUGACGGUACCUGAGGAGGAAGCCACGGCUAACUACGUGCCAGCAGCCGCGGUAAUACGUAGGUGGCAAGCGUUGUCCGGAUUUACUGGGCGUAAAGGGAGCGUAGGCGGAUACUUAAGUGGGAUGUGAAAUACCUGGGCUUAACUUGGGUGCUGCAUUCCAAACUGGAUAUCUAGAGUGCAGGAGAGGAAAGUAGAAUUCCUAGUGUAGCGGUGAAAUGCGUAGAGAUUAGGAGGAACACCAGUGGCGAAGGCGACUUUCUGGACUGUAACUGACGCUGAGGCUCGAAAGCGUGGGGAGCGAACAGGAUUAGAAACCCCUGUAGUCC